AUCCAAACCUGCUUUGAUGGCAUCGGCAGCAGCUUCUUCAGGAGUUGAUGUAUAGUGUUGCUGAUCGAAUAAACACCAACUGAAUCACAAUCUGAAACAAUAUACCUGUGAAUAACAUUGCAAGAGAUGAUUUGAUGAAAAUCAGAAUGUAUAACGAUAUUCAUGAUAAUAGCAAGAUUGUUACCCAUUGAGUGCGAAGAGUCUUCCGCAGCAGAUUGGGGUCAGCACAAGUGGGGAUGCCAUUUACCUGGUUAUAGGAGCAUAUCACACUCGCUACCUUUCCCUCCUUCACACACAUCUUCAACGGUACAUCAAAUGUGUCCUCCAUGUCCUGCUUGCUUACCUGUUUCUCAAGCCAUCUUUUCUUUUCAAAAAUUUCAUUAAGAAAAAACAAACAAGUUGAAGAGCCACAGUGAAAAUGUAACUUGGCAUUGAAGUGAAAGCGAUCCACUCCAUUCCAAUUAUCG
This 467-nucleotide unclassified non-coding RNA is filed under the name Hevea brasiliensis (rubber tree). Lineage: Eukaryota; Viridiplantae; Streptophyta; Magnoliopsida; Malpighiales; Euphorbiaceae. The record is from RNAcentral.